GUUGAGUAUUAAACCGGACAUAGUGUUAGUGAAGCCGCUGUAUUUGGAGGAGGAGCCUGGAUGCUCUCGGGAGGCAGAGCUCACGGCUCAGUCCACUCAGCCAAUAAGAUUGAGCAGCAUCAUCAUCGCUGAAGAGAAGUGGUUAACCUUUCAAACUAAGACGCCUGUAUGCCAUGCAUUAUGACAAAUGGUAGCCUAUAUAGGGACCCGACUAAUUAGAAAGAAAUGGAUGGCCAGAACUCUCUAUUGUACAAAAUAAAGAACCUGUUUCAUCUGGAGUUCUUAAUUUAACAGCUCUGGAGGAUGAUGCAGUGAUUGCUGCGUACCUUCUACCUGCUACUGGUGGUGUCAGGUCAAGAGAGAUUUUCCUCUACAAGUUCAAAGCACAUGAGGUUUGUUAUGCAAUAUACCG
This is a long non-coding RNA of Halichondria panicea, 412 nucleotides long. RefSeq lists it as uncharacterized. NCBI's taxonomy places the organism in Eukaryota, Metazoa, Porifera, Demospongiae, Suberitida, Halichondriidae. The transcript has 3 exons. The record is from RefSeq and is a predicted model, not a curated record.